RNAcentral lists this long non-coding RNA (627 nucleotides) under Linum usitatissimum (flax). Its description in RNAcentral is "long non-coding RNA (LUSI_LNC004277)". The record is from RNAcentral. Lineage: Eukaryota; Viridiplantae; Streptophyta; Magnoliopsida; Malpighiales; Linaceae.
AUAUACUAUAACCUUGCCGAAUCAUAAAAACAGUUAAGGUACCGAUUGUACAAACUGGAGGUUUAAUGAUCAAAAUGUGUUACUGAAAUUCCGGGGACGGCUCCGACAAUUUUCCCAAGUCAUCUUCUUCCCAAAUUUUGGGAACUCAAACAGAGCUCCGACGAAGACACCCAGAUUCCGGCGAGUGUCUAAAAUCGCCGAAACUGACAGAAACUAGAAUAUUAACACACUUACUGCUUCCAAAUCUUGAUACGAAGCUAACCGAUGCAUUUGGAGGAUCUGUAGCAGCCUGAAUCGGUCGGCCGAGAUUCUUGCGACCGAAGGGUUCGCUUCCUCAGGAUAUGACAUCGACUGGUCUCCGCGAGGUGGCUUCAACGUCGCCGCCAUCGUCGAGGGGGGCUACGAGAUCUGAAUCCUAGGAUCUAGAACCGCUACUUGGCUCUAAAGCCUUGUAACAGAGCUCGGCUGAAAUCAUUCGUCGAGAAUUAUGGAUUGCCAAUUGACGAAUCCGUUUCCACUUCCGUCGAGUUUCUGAGAGAGAGAAGUGCCCUAUGGAUUCUUUGAUUUCAGUUUUUAAAACCAAGAAGAAGGGGAUGAAUUGAUUUGAUUCAUCAUCCGAGAUUUGGG